Long non-coding RNA from Lynx canadensis (Canada lynx), 1290 nucleotides. RefSeq lists it as uncharacterized. The record is from RefSeq and is a predicted model, not a curated record. The transcript has 4 exons. NCBI's taxonomy places the organism in Eukaryota, Metazoa, Chordata, Mammalia, Carnivora, Felidae.
GCGCAGUGACGUCAAGAGCAGCUGGAGUCGGGGAUUACCCCCUGCUGCUGACGUGAGGACGGUGAACAAUCGGGGAACGUUCGGUGGAAGGGGGAAUUCCCCGCCGCUCCCAGAGGAGCCCCUCCUCCCGCCCCUCCCCCACCCGGGGCCGACCCGGAGGCUGUGAUGGUGGGGCCACCGAGCGGGUGAGGGGAGAAGGCUGAGCAGGGAAGCGGCCGCACGAGCUGUAGUGGCGCGCGCAACGGCGUCUUCCCGGCUGGACGCUCGGAGGAGCCGCGGCGCGCGCCCCUCGCCUGGUACCGCGCUCGGGCCUGGGCGGAAGGGAGAUCACAUGCUUGCCUGUACACAGCCCUGCGCGGGCGGAACGCUGGUGGUGCAGGCACAGGGCUAAUUGGGCGCCCUGAAGCAAUGGAUCCAUCAUCGAAUGCAAAUAUGAGUGUGUCAGACAUAAACAAUUUGUACCGGAGUCCAGUGGCUGAAGAAAGGGGACUAACUCGUUCUGCUUUCCAAGGUUUCAGUUACAGUAAACCAGGAUCCGGAAGUAGAGGAUCCUCUGAUGUAUCAUCAGAAGGUCAGUAGUAGUCUAACUCCACGUCACAAUGCCUGUGUCCUUCACCUCAUUUCAUCUCCUCACAGAGGCAUUUUAUCAUCUCACAUCACCACAAGAAGGCCACCCAGCUGCCCUACUUUUUAUUGAGAUUUUACCCAGAACUUCAAUAUAUAGAUGAUAAAAGUUGAACUUCUCUGCUUCAAGCUGAGGUGAGAGUUUGGGAGCACCACUCAUACAGAAAGAAAAAGGAAACUGCAGAGAAGAAUAAGAAUGAAUAGUCAAAGGAGUAAAAGAAUCAGGAGAAGGUGGAGGGGGGACGAUCUGAGUCAAGAAAGUAAAGUACUUCAAGGAGGUCAAGAGCAUCAGAUGCUGUGGUGAGUCCACUGGUUUUUAGCAAGGAAGAAGCCACUGCUGACUUUGGCACGAGAUUUGGAGAAGUAAUGAGGGCAGAGGAUAGAGUGUGGGUAGAAACCAUAGAUUAUGUUUCAGUGAGCUGACUGUAAUGGAAAGAAAAGACAUGGAGAUAACUAAAAGGGAAUAUUUGUCUGUUUAACCUAGAUGGGAGACACUUGAGCCUGUUUACAGAGUAGGGAAGAAAAUAAUUUGAUAGAAUUUAAAGACACUUGAGAAACAUUCAUUGAUCAGUUAAGGUUUCUAGGAAUGGGGGAGAGAUAGAUGCAGUGCUUAGUUGAAUAAUUACCUUCUUUCACUGUGGUGAGAGGGGACAUGGUAAAAAAAAA